This is a non-coding RNA of Caenorhabditis elegans, 191 nucleotides long. NCBI's taxonomy places the organism in Eukaryota, Metazoa, Nematoda, Chromadorea, Rhabditida, Rhabditidae. The record is from Ensembl.
AAGAAGAGGACGUGGGGGUCUUCUUCUUCUUGACGGGAGGUAAAGAAAAACGAUCGACGACGACAACGGAGAAAGCAAACGUGUGAGUAUGGCAAUUCAGUGGCGUAUCGUCAGGGGUCGUGCCAGGCACCGCUACAGUUCGUUUUUUGCCCAGUAACUUCAACUUGAAUAUCUCUUGUUCUCUCUGCGCA